UGUGUGUGUGUGUGUGUGUGUGUGUGUGUGUGUGUUUGUGUGUUUCAGUUCUUGAACAGCAACAAAAAAUAAUGCACACAAGGAACACAGGACCCAGCUUUAACUUUGAGACAGACUAAGUUCCACACUUGUGUCUGUACAUAUUGUAGCAGGCCCAGUUAUUUUUAUUGUUUAUUAUUAUUAUACAUUUAUAUUCUGUAAUUAUCCUUCCACUAGUGUCUGCUGAAAUGCAGUUUAUUUGUUAAAAGGAAAAAUGACUUAGCAUUAUAAUUGUCAGAAGCCAUUGUUGAAGUAUGGAAUUACGAUCAUCUUACUGCUAAUAAUGCUUUUGUGGAAGUGCAUCCUGCUCUUUAACAUUGAUAUUGGUUAAUAUGGACAAAUUUAAAAUUAGUGAUAUCGCUCAGGUUAACUGGUUUGACUGGACAUAGGUGGUUUCUAAUUUGUCGAAACAUUACUUGUUUGUGAGAGGACAUUGCCAAGUCAAACUCUCUGAUGUGUCCAUUGUUUUGUAUGUCCAUUCAUUUUGUAUGAGUGUAUAUAUGAGGUACCAUUCUCAUUGUGUAAAUAUGUCAGUUGCCAUGGUUAUGGUUACAUACUUAAUGUUUUGAUAUUCCAGGGGUGAUCCAUGGCAUCAUUGUAUAUAUCAUGACACAUUGUAUAUAUUCUCAAAAUUUGUUUAGUCAUGACUAUUUUACAAAAAUAUAUUAAAGACAUCA
Haliotis rubra (blacklip abalone) is the source of this 716-nucleotide long non-coding RNA. RefSeq lists it as uncharacterized. The transcript is spliced from 2 exons. Lineage: Eukaryota; Metazoa; Mollusca; Gastropoda; Lepetellida; Haliotidae. The record is from RefSeq and is a predicted model, not a curated record.